This 345-nucleotide ribosomal RNA is filed under the name Triticum aestivum (bread wheat). RNAcentral's name for it is "partial small subunit ribosomal RNA". Lineage: Eukaryota; Viridiplantae; Streptophyta; Magnoliopsida; Poales; Poaceae. The record is from RNAcentral.
AUGAUCGCCGGCUGCACCGAAGAACUUCGAAGAUACUCUCCGAUGUUCUCUCGAGACUUUGUGCCCGUUGCUUUUUCAAUUCCCUAUCACCGAUAUAUCCCUAUGGAUAAAUACAUACACUUGCUGUUCAUACCUUCAGUCGAAGUUGCUCUUGUUAUUACUAGAUACCACGAAAAAUUUGCCAAUAUCUCGAGAAUCCUUUGUGCCUACUGCCUUGCAGUUCCUUGCCACCUGAAUACCCCUACGGAUAAUUUCUCGCCCUUAUCGAGUAUCCGUUCAUCCCCAGUUGUUCAUGUGUUUCACAAUGGUCUUCGAAAUACUAUUCGAUCCUCCAAAAAUCCUUAG